AUUGAACGCUGGCGGCAUGCCUUACACAUGCAAGUCGAACGGCAGCACGGGAGCAAUCCUGGUGGCGAGUGGCGAACGGGUGAGUAAUAUAUCGGAACGUGCCCGGUCGUGGGGGAUAACGUAGCGAAAGCUACGCUAAUACCGCAUACGAUCUACGGAUGAAAGCGGGGGAUCGCAAGACCUCGCGCGAUUGGAGCGGCCGAUAUCAGAUUAGGUAGUUGGUGAGGUAAAGGCUCACCAAGCCGACGAUCUGUAGCUGGUCUGAGAGGACGACCAGCCACACUGGGACUGAGACACGGCCCAGACUCCUACGGGAGGCAGCAGUGGGGAAUUUUUGGACAAAUGGGCGCAAGCCUGAUCCAGCAAUGCCGCGUGCAGGAUGAAGGCCU
Molecule: ribosomal RNA, 389 nt
Filed under: uncultured bacterium
Lineage: Bacteria
Description: bacterial SSU rRNA
Rfam family: Bacterial small subunit ribosomal RNA
Source: RNAcentral